UGUGGGAGCGGGCUUGCCCGCGAUGGCGGCUUAACAUUCAGCUUUCAUGUUGCCUGUGACAUCGCUAUCGCGGGCAAGCCCGCUCCCACA
This 90-nucleotide unclassified non-coding RNA is filed under the name Pseudomonas lini. The record is from RNAcentral. Lineage: Bacteria; Pseudomonadati; Pseudomonadota; Gammaproteobacteria; Pseudomonadales; Pseudomonadaceae.